UGUCUGGGUUUACUUGUUUUCUCGAAGUGCCAUGUAUAUGUGAAUGUGAAAUAUAUUUGAAGUUAAUUCUUGAAUUUCAAAACAAAACUUUGGUUUGUUGACGAUAAACAUAUGGUCUAGAAGGAUAAUCUCAUGAGAUUGGUUAGUCAGUCAAUUUUUAACCCUCUCUUUUGAAGAUAGUUAUGCUCCUCCUGCUCUAGAACCUCAGCUUUUCUUGCAUGAUGUGAGGCUCAGAGAAUAUGCAGUGGAUAGAAGUUAUGUGUAUGUAUCAUCUUGCCCUUGUACGAAGAAACACAUGUUUUCUGAAACAUGUUUUUUAAGUCAUUACCGAGCCCAUUAAUUUCAAGUAGGACUGGAUUCCCUUCCUCCACGUUCAUAGAACUUGAUCCUGAAAGUUGUUUAAAGAUUUUAGGAGUGCCCUCAGGUGGUACGAGCCAUGAAUUGCAUCUCCUCUUACACUGCAUGGUGGUUAAAAAGAGAGGCAGAAAUAAUUCACUGUUUAAGAACCCAGGAUUUAAAUCUGUGUAUGCAUCAGAGAUGAACUGUUUUUUAGUUUUGGUUCACAAGAUGGAAGAGGAAAAAUGCCAAUGUGUGGUGAACUCUUUGGGGAGAGAUAGAUUUUAUAUUCUAAAAAUAAGUUAUGUGUAAAACAAUGCAAAUGUGAUUUCUCUUGCUUUUGUUGCGUGCUUAGUAGUGAUGUUGAAUAUACAAAUGUGCCAUAAGCAAAAUGUAUUUAUAUAUUUUAAGAGGAGAGAUAGAGUAAUUUUUGAUAUUUUGUUGAAGGUAUAGAGUUUCAAAACCUGUUAUAGAUAUGUUAAAUUUUUAUACUAUGUCUUAUUCUAAGAAGGGUUGAAACAUCUAGCUCGUGGGUUAGUCUAUUUCAGAUACGAAUUUCAGAGUAAGAAGACAUUUUGGAAUCUUGCCGAAACCACCUUUUUAUGCCUGUAGAUGUUUUAUAUGAGCUCUUUUGAGGAAAUUAAGAUUUCUGUAAAGCGUUGGUACAUAGCUCUUACAUCUUACCUGUUUUGAGAAACCUCUGGAGCUCCUGGUUUGUCAGUAAGUCCAGAGGGUAGCAGAGAGAAGCCCUCGGGUGUGCACCGUCUCAGGUGUAGAUGCUCUGAAUGCCCACAUGUCCGUCUCGUGUCGGCUUUCUGCUGCAGGGGUAGAAUGCCCCCUUGUUGUGGUCUCACCAUAGCAGAGAAACUAGAAUUGUGGCUCUUAAUACCCUACGAAGACGCCAACUGCACACCAAAUAAUGAAAGACCCAAAAUGUAGAGGUUGUAUAUAGGACACUGACAUUUUGGCUUCCCCAUAUUUGAAAUGAACUAGCAUUUUUAUUUCUAAACCUUCAAAAGAGUGUCCAUGGAUGAUAUUAGGAACUAAAUGUUACUAAAGUGGUUAAAAUGAUUAUUUCUUAUCUUGUCAUCAAUUUGUUUUUAACCCAAUGGAAAGGAUUGUUUUUAUCAGUGUGUAGUCCUAUAGUUUGUUUUCAGAAUGCAAGUGCUAAUGUUUUUUCUUCUGAUCUCCAUCUUUUGAAAUUAAUGAGUCUUAGUGUGGAGAGGCUACGUUACAUUCUCUUGUAAUUUUCGCAUUCUAGAAAGUUUGGCAAGUGGGAAACUCGCCCAUCCUCUCACUAGCUACGAGCAUUUUGCUUCCUUGAGCUCGCACACAGUUUACCUGCGUGAAGCGUACAAUGCAGCGGUCGGUGUUUUUGCUGGGCUGAGCAGCCGUCCCUGCAGGCAGCCUGAGACCGUUUAAUCACACCAGAAAGAAGCCCCCCUGCCUGAAGCCACCGUCACCACCCCUCCCUGCUCCUGGCGACACUGAGCUACUCUCUAGAUUCGCCUAUUCUGGACAUUCCCUAUACGUGGAAUCAGAUGACCAGCUGUUAUUCAGUGUGAUGUGUUCAUGCCUCAGCUGUCUUGUAGCAUGGGUCACGCGUGGCAGUUUGAGAAGUCAAGCAUAAUAAAAAGCAUGUGUCACGUGUCUAGGCGUGCUAAGUUGUGCCAGUGGGACUUUCAUGUUUCAACAGUUGGCUUUCUUAUUUUAAAGUUGUCGGAUGUGGUGUAUGGUCAAAGUAAUGACUGAAUCAUAGCAUUUUUUAAAGUAGAGAGCUUAAAAGCAAAGCAGAAAGCCUUCCGCAGAUUCUUCAGUUUAAAAAAAACUCAACCUGUUAAACCUUGGUGAAUUGCAGCAGAAGUAUUAUGCUGAGCUGAAUGCACAUGGAGCGAAGCACUUGACCGAUUCGCAAGAUGUCUGACGGUUGUCUUCUUUUGUCUCCACGCUCAGUUUUCCUGCCCACAGUUGCCCUGCCUUCAUUUUUCGCCACAUCCAAGAGCAUUAGCUUAGAAACUUUAUACUUUUUUUGGUUCUCUUAAUUCUUUUUGUCUUGUAAAAGUAGGAGCGAAGAGACACGGUCUUUGAAAGUCUCUGUGCUGUACGAUGAGAGUGUAAACACUUUUUUAGGUUACAAGCGUUUCUGCUCUUUCCCCGUGGGUAAGGGAGUGAGGUGGUGUGUUUCCUGAGAAACAAUCGGAGACGUCCUCGAGUCACUGAUAGCAUCUCCCGUGAGCCUUCCCCGUGGAGCUGGGUGCCUUGGUCAUUCUCCCCCCGCUAGUCUCCAGUGCUGUAAGCUGUCGUGGGCCCGUUUUGUCUGUCUCUCGCCCACAUAGAAGUUUGGACCACUCUGCCUAAUUAUAAUAUUGUACUGAAACCUCUCUCCUAAGUCUUCAGAUAGAUUCUUCAAAUUUCUUAGAAAAUUUGAUAACUACCUAAUUUUUAUUUAUGCUUAUUACAUCCUGUCAAAUUUUUUGAAGUGGCUAACAGGAGGAAACAUAUAUGCUAAAACCUCAAGUAGGAAAAAGAACUCCCAGUGAAGGGGGGAAUAAUUGUCUUCGUUGUUCGGGGCUAAGGAACUCAAGUUGAGUGUUGACUACCGGCAAGUUAGCGUUAGUGCAGAAGGAAAUCUUCCCGCUGACCAGCAGAGGACCACUGUGGGCAGAAGGCAUGGGCAGGGUAAGGUGGCCAUGCAGAUGGAGGAGCCUCGACCGAGCACAUUGGAAAGGUGGAAAGAGCAGGUGCCUGGAGCCUAGGGAGACAGAGCGUGGACUGGAUGAGAGAGGGAGUGGUCACGCCAUGGGGAGAAGGCGCUGGAGUUUGAGGUUCGUCUGGAGAGCAGUGGGAAGCAAUUGAAGACAUUUUACAAAGGGAGGCGAUUUGGCUCAGUCGUUAAGGCGUCACCGGCUAUUGAGGGGAAGGGGGUGGUGCCAAGAUGAGAAUGGGCAGCUUCAGGAGGUGGUGCUGUUGUGACAGGGCUGGUGGUCUCGGAGCGUCUGCACUUACCACCUACUCUGUGUGUGUGUGUGUACUUUGGUGUUGACAUACUGCAUACAUUAUGGAACGUUAAAAGAAAAGGAUGAGAGAAAAAUGAACAGAAAUAGAAGUGCUGCUGAUUUCUCUCCCAUGCCAAUGUACGUUUAGCAUCCUGGGAUAAGUGCAUCCCUCUAUGAAAACCACUCUCUGGAGUGGAGGCCAUUUGGAGAGAGGGAUUUCGAGGUGACAGGAGGAGCUUGGCAGUAGGUUCACUAGUCGUAAUAAAAAGGAAGGGGUGACGAGGGCCCUGGACUUCUGGUUUGUGCCACUGAGGAGAUCACAGUGCUGGUUAGAGGCCCAGCCAGUGCUCCAGCAAUAGGCUGAUCCUGUUUGUUGAAGUAGCCGCUGCCUGCCUGUGCAUGUGCGUCCCAGUGCCCUUGGCCACAGAGGGGGCCUCUAGGGUGGUCGGGGGGCUGGCUCUGCUCUGCAGAGAAGUGGACGUGGGACGCAGGUCACUCUCGCCUUCCCGAGUGUCAGGACGUGGCAGGAUUGGUACAUUAUGGUCGACUCUGACGGUUUCUGUAGCUGUGGAUAGACUCCUUGAUUCUGCAGCUGAAGGUAAACGGUGUACGGAGCAGGUGUGGGCUGGGGGCAUGUCACAACUGUCGCUGUUCAAGCUUCUGCUGAAUUCUCCGCAGUUUGUCAGCUGUUAGCAGCCGUCUUCCAUUUGCUGAGAAGAGAAUAAAGCAUAUCUGAGGCCGUAAGUUGGGGAGGAUUAAACAAAUGAACGGGGCAGGGGAGCCCCAUCGCAUGUACAGUUUGCCUAAGACUAGGCACAGCGACACGACAGAAGUUUCUGUGUUGGCGUUUUUUUCAUGUGUGGCUAGAGAUGCAUGAUGCUCUACUUCCUGAGGUAUAUAAAUAUUUCAUUAAAAACUGUACAUAUUUUAAAGCGAAAUGUGAAAAUUUUUUUGAAAAUAUUAAAAUGCCACUUUAAAAACGCCACCACUCUGCACACAGUUUGCUCUUUGUUGUAAUUCUCGUGUGCUGGUGCGGAGCCCUGCAGAAUGAGACCUAGGUCUGUAUGUCUGUAUCUCUUUUGUUCAGUUUUACUGAGGUAUAAUUGAAGAACAAAACUGUAAGAUAUUUAAAGCGUAUAUACUGUGAAAGCGUCCCUCCCAUCUAGUUAGUUAGCACAUCUACCACCUGAACCUCGUGUGUGUGUGUGUGUGUGUGUGUCAUUUGGGUGAGUUAGCACAGUUCAGUUACACAGUACAGUGCUAUCAACUACAGUCACCAUGUGUCUGUUAGAUCCUCGGUCCUCAUGCAUCUUACAGCUCAAAGUUCGUACGUUUUUACCAGCCUCUGUCUAUUUACCGUCCCCCCCCCCCCCCCCCCAGGCCCUGGCAGCCACUUCCCUACUGUUUCUAUGAGUUUGGAUUUUUUUUUUUUUUAAAGUCCACAUACAAGUGAUGCCAGCAGUCUUUUGUCUUUCUCUGUCUGGCUCAUUCCGCUUAGUGUGAUGCCUGCACGGUCCGUCCAUGUUCGUGCAAGUGACAGGAUUUCCUUCUUUCUUCUGGCUGAGUGAUAUUCCAUUGUGUGUAUUCCGUAAGAUUCCAGAAUGGAAUCUCUCUCACAUGCACACACACACGCACGCUCUGCAUCUUCUUGACCCGUUCAUCUGCUGAUGGACAUUAGGUUGUUGCCGUAUCUUGACUACUGUGAGUGACUAAGGCUGCAACGAGCAUAGGGGUGCGGGUGUUCUUGUUUUCAUUUCCUUUGGAUGUGUGCCCAGAAGUGGGAUUGCUGGGUCAUGGGGUAGCUCUGUUUUUAAUUUUUGAGGAGCCUCCAUAGUGUCUCUGCAGUGGCUGCACUGUUUGCAUUCCCGUGAUUCCCGUGGUACCUGCUUUUGUUUGUUUUGUUUUUUCACAGCAGCAGCCACACCGCUGCGGUGUCUUCCUCCAUUGUCUUCUAGCCACCUGAGAACAGACACACAUUUGCUUUUAUCCCCUUUCAGAAUGUGUGUCGUAGAACUUUGCGAUCACGAGGGUAAUACCUGGGGGCCUCAUUGAUGGUCAAAAGCAUGAACACUGCUCGUUUGGAAGCUGACGAUGUAUGUGCCCACUCAGCAGACUGGCUUUCUAGAGAGUAAAUUGAAGUAAAACCAGCUUUAAGCAAACAUUAUCUCA
Mirounga angustirostris (Northern elephant seal) is the source of this 5501-nucleotide long non-coding RNA. RefSeq lists it as uncharacterized. The record is from RefSeq and is a predicted model, not a curated record. Lineage: Eukaryota; Metazoa; Chordata; Mammalia; Carnivora; Phocidae. The transcript has 2 exons.